Molecule: long non-coding RNA, 492 nt
Organism: Pyrus x bretschneideri (Chinese white pear)
Lineage: Eukaryota; Viridiplantae; Streptophyta; Magnoliopsida; Rosales; Rosaceae
Exons: 4
Source: RefSeq, a predicted model, not a curated record
CAUUUCUUUUCUUUUGGUUUGUCUGCACUUUUCUUUCUCUCUCUCUCAAAAACUCUCUCUUUCCUCUUCUUCCUCUUCUACCCGUGAAAGACACACACACACACACCCAUUGUUGCACCUGCUUGAGGACACAGCCACCAUCAUCAUCACCAAACCUUAGCUCUCUCUCUCUCUCCCUUGCUCACGGCACCAAGAGGGUACGAGCACCUCCGGCGAAUUUAGCUUGUUUUCCGGUUGGGUUUUGGAGUGUUUUUGGCAAGGGUGGAGGUACACCCAAUUUUCCGGCGAGUGCGUGUUUUCCGAGGGAUUUUCCGGCCACCACAAGCCGUUACACGGCGAACCCAAGGUGCGAUUCUUAGCGGAGAUUUCGUUACUCCUGUUUGAUACGGCUUGCACCAUCGGUGUACGGACCUUGGAACGAGGAUUACGACCUAAGCUACGAGGCGUUCCCCUACCAAUGAUUUGUGUCAUAUUCGCUCCGCUUCGCCACUU